AGGGUAAAGGAACAGUACCAUUGCUGGAUAAUUGGAAAGUCUCUGUGUGUCAACCUUUGUGCUUCGUGGCAAGGUAGACUAGCAAACAUGCCCAACCUUUACUCACAUUUGAGACAACACUCCCAACAGGAUUGCUUGCUCCAAAAUCGAAGAGGCACCGCCCUCCGAAUCUCGAGAGCCAGACUCCCAACAUGAUUACUUCCUCAAAAAUCGAAGAGACACUGCUCUACGAAUCUCGAGAGCCAGACCCCCAGCAUGAUUG
This 262-nucleotide long non-coding RNA is filed under the name Malus domestica (apple). RNAcentral's name for it is "long non-coding RNA (MDOM_LNC017225)". The record is from RNAcentral. Lineage: Eukaryota; Viridiplantae; Streptophyta; Magnoliopsida; Rosales; Rosaceae.